This 697-nucleotide long non-coding RNA is filed under the name Phoenix dactylifera (date palm). RNAcentral's name for it is "long non-coding RNA (PDAC_LNC019108)". The record is from RNAcentral. Lineage: Eukaryota; Viridiplantae; Streptophyta; Magnoliopsida; Arecales; Arecaceae.
GAAGUAAAGAUAGAGUAAUAAGAGGAGAAGUAAAGAAAGAAGGAGAAAUAACGAAAUAACUUGUAAAACAACUUGAAAAUCAUAUAGGAAAGCAUAUGCAUCCAAGGGGGAGCAAUUUGCAACAAUGAAAAUGAUCAAGUCAAAAAUUUCUAUCAAAUUUCAGAAUUUGGCACAUAGAAUUUCAGAAUUUGGCACGCACCUUUCACACCUCGAUACAUAACCUGAAACUCAUGUUUUAUCUCAAAUUUUUGGAGUUUCAUCUUUAAUGAAUUAUAAAUAAAAGGGGGAGCAAUUCAAAAAGUCAAAUUGGCAACAUUUGAAUGAUAUAGGGGGAGACUUCACUCUUAUAUAUGAAAAGCUGAAAUUCAGCAAGUUAAGCCCUUUCAAAAACUGAUUUUAAAAUAAGGAUCAAUAGGCUCAUACUCUUUAUUUUGUAAUCAUCAAAAAGGGGGAGAUUGAGAAUGAUAGUGUUAUUUUGAUGAUUAACAAGCAUUUAACAAGAGUAUGUUAUAAGUUAAAACGAUACUUUAUUUAUAAGUCUGUUACUCUCAGUAUAUUUGUAUAAAUUGAUAUAGAUACAUUUCAUUAUUUAUAUGAAUGAAUCUAACCUUGAGAUGCAGCAAAGUGUGGAUUGAGUCGACCCAAAGGAUGAUUGGGUCGACCCCGGCACAUCAAGAAAUUAUUUGGCACACUUCUG